This 253-nucleotide ribosomal RNA is filed under the name uncultured bacterium. RNAcentral's name for it is "partial 16S ribosomal RNA". It matches the Rfam family "Bacterial small subunit ribosomal RNA", at positions 524 to 776 of the family's 1533-position model. The record is from RNAcentral.
UACGUAGGGGGCGAGCGUUGUCCGGAUUUAUUGGGCGUAAAGGGCGCGUAGGCGGCCCGCUAAGUCGAACGUGAAAUCCCCGAGCUCAACUCGGGAACUGCGUCCGAUACUGGCGGGCUUGAAUCCGGGAGAGGGAUGCGGAAUUCCAGGUGUAGCGGUGAAAUGCGUAGAUAUCUGGAGGAACACCGGUGGCGAAGGCGGCAUCCUGGACCGGCAUUGACGCUGAGGCGCGAAAGCUAGGGGAGCAAACGGG